Herpailurus yagouaroundi (jaguarundi) is the source of this 388-nucleotide long non-coding RNA. RefSeq lists it as uncharacterized. The record is from RefSeq and is a predicted model, not a curated record. The transcript has 4 exons. Lineage: Eukaryota; Metazoa; Chordata; Mammalia; Carnivora; Felidae.
UCUUGAGAUGUGUAGACUCGUAUCAUUGAAUCACACUGAGCCUAUUGAUGAUAGCUAACAUAAGAUAUUGCUAAUGUCACAGUAGAGAUGAUGUAGGCCUUAGCCACAGCACCGACCAUCUGAUCUUCAGACUGCUAGGUGCUCCGUAGAAGUUGUGUUACCUGACAAUAGUCUUGACCUUGGAGUCCUACAGCUAUUCGAGCAGAGGUUUCCUGUCAAGAGAUUAUGAUGAAACUCACACUAGUGAUUCUCUGGGGACAUUUCUGGUCUCCGGACAAGUGGUGAUGUUCACCUUCGCCAUUUCAACCCAUCUGAUCUUUCUGUAUCUGGAUGAAUGUUAUCGAUGGACUAAACUUGCUUAGCACAUGUGUUUUGUUUUUUUUUUAAU